UGGGGAAUAUUGCACAAUGGGCGAAAGCCUGAUGCAGCAACGCCGCGUGAGCGAUGAAGGCCUUCGGGUCGUAAAGCUCUGUCCUCAAGGAAGAUAAUGACGGUACUUGAGGAGGAAGCCCCGGCUAACUACGUGCCAGCAGCCGCGGUAAUACGUAGGGGGCUAGCGUUAUCCGGAUUUACUGGGCGUAAAGGGUGCGUAGGUGGUUUCUUAAGUCAGGAGUGAAAGGCUACGGCUCAACCGUAGUAAGCUCUUGAAACUGGGAAACUUGAGUGCAGGAGAGGAAAGUGGAAUUCCUAGUGUAGCGGUGAAAUGCGUAGAUAUUAGGAGGAACACCAGUAGCGAAGGCGGCUUUCUGGACUGUAACUGACACUGAGGCACGAAAGCGUGGGGAGCAAACAGG
This 403-nucleotide ribosomal RNA is filed under the name uncultured bacterium. Its description in RNAcentral is "bacterial SSU rRNA". It matches the Rfam family "Bacterial small subunit ribosomal RNA", at positions 355 to 776 of the family's 1533-position model. RNAcentral also lists the same sequence under 1 other name. The record is from RNAcentral.